RNAcentral lists this unclassified non-coding RNA (420 nucleotides) under Hevea brasiliensis (rubber tree). Lineage: Eukaryota; Viridiplantae; Streptophyta; Magnoliopsida; Malpighiales; Euphorbiaceae. The record is from RNAcentral.
UAAAAGACAUGAUACUGGACACAGCUUACAGACAUACAAAAUAUAUCCAACCCUUUUAAUGUGUAAAAUAUAUAUAUAUAGCCUAAUGAAUUAUGUAUAACAAUUAAGUUUUUGUCUCUAAGAUUGAAGAAAAUAUUCAAUACCAUACACAUAAAUAUACAAAAGUAACAUUUAAGCCAAUGUGGACUUAGCACAGCAACAAUAAGGAAAUGCAUAUACAGGAAAGAAACUAUUGGUUUCUUUGAUUAUGGAAAAAAGCCACUGCAUUAUCAUAUACUAUUAAUUGAAUGCUAAUUGAUGUAUCAUUUGCCAAAGUAUUUGAUAAUAAUUACUAUGCAUCUUAAUAUUAAGAUUUACACGGAAUUCCUGCCUUAGCCUUUGCCAACUUUUAUCAAACGCAACAUUCUGAACUAUUUUUCA